This 804-nucleotide long non-coding RNA is filed under the name Pongo abelii (Sumatran orangutan). RNAcentral's name for it is "lincRNA". Lineage: Eukaryota; Metazoa; Chordata; Mammalia; Primates; Hominidae. The record is from RNAcentral.
UGCUUGGGUGCUGCCAUGGAUAGCGCAUGUGUUGGCUUUGUCCAACUUUGGGCUUUUGCCCACAUUGAUUUUAAAAAGACAGAGGAGCCACAGAUUUUGGAGUACUGCAAAAUGACUUUCCAAAUUGAUGAACCAUGAACUCUAAGCUGGAUAGACAGAGAAAUGAAAAGAAGGGACUAAUGGGGAAUAAGACGUGUGAUCCAUGGCCCAAUGGCCCUGAUGGACGUGAAGAUCCACUGUUGUGGGAGGAAUGGAACACUAACACUAAAUGAUGGAGGCUGUGGUCAGAAACAGGGAUUAGCAACCCACUCUCCACCAAAUUUCAAAUCACUAGGGGCAUUAUGCUAUGUCCCAUGAGUGGCCGAGGCUUCAAGGACCAAUGAUAGACCUGCCGCUCUAACCUAGGCCUGCUGAGGAGUACAAUUCAACCUGUGUUUCUGUGUUGUUCAGCAAUCUUGCUGAGCUCCUCUAAGUCAGUCCAUCCUGCCACAGCUGGGAAGAAUCAAGAAACUCUCCAAGAAGAUGUUUAUCGGUUGGUAAACAUCUGUUUAUCUGUUUGUUGCCAAUGAGAAGACAGGUCUGCUGACCAUGGCGGGCAUGGCAGCAUGUGACACCGUGUUUGCUGUUCACUGCGUGUUCCGCCUGAACUUUCCCGUCCGGUCAAUGAGUCUUGACAGUGGGGUGAAGGGGACUCACUCUCAAAGACCAAGGCUGACCCGCUUUGAGUACAAUGCCUUGACCUAGUUACUGUCACUGUGGUUUUGUCUUCAGGAACUAAAAGUUACAAUAAAAAUUUUUUCCUUU